Molecule: RNA transcript, 2878 nt
Organism: Ipomoea nil (Japanese morning glory)
Lineage: Eukaryota; Viridiplantae; Streptophyta; Magnoliopsida; Solanales; Convolvulaceae
Gene name: DExH-box ATP-dependent RNA helicase DExH18, mitochondrial
Exons: 4
Source: RefSeq, a predicted model, not a curated record
UCCAUUGACAUGCAACGACCGGUUUCGGUUUCCAACUGUCUUCUAGGGUUUUCAGUGAUUAAACGUCACCCACCGUCCCUUUCCCUCCAUUCUCUCUUCCCUCUUUCUCAUUCUCAGAAUCUCAGGUAUGCUUCUCUUUCCCAUUUAAUUUCACCUGUAUACCUGCAUAUGAUUUCGCUUCUAUGCAUAUUACUGCAUUUCUAGUUCAAUACUAUUUCUCCGUCAAUGGCAAGACCCCUCCUCCAUCUCUGUUCCUCUUCCAAGAGAAACUUCUUUAGGGCCACACUUUUUCCCUGCUCAAACCGUUUCCUCCAUGCCCGCACUCCAGAAUCCAGGAAAUUUCAAGAUUACCCCUUCCAUGAGCCCAGAUUACCACCCCAGCCUCAGUUCUUGCACACCCACUUCGCGCAAUUCACAAAGUUUGGAUUUUUAAGUUUCAGUGGACGCCAUUUUUCUGCGCUGGGUGGAAAUGAUGGUUCUUGUUCGAGUCCAGUGGAAAACGUGGAGGGUGAAGCUGGUAAUCUGGAGUUGGGGAAGGAGGAGAAUGAAGAUGGGAAGGUUGGGUGUGAGAAAAGAUUGGAUUUUGCUCAUAUAGCGGGCCGUGAUCCAGUGGAAAUUUAUAGGGAGCUCAGAGAUGCCAGCAAGGGGGAGAAGCAAACCCGGGGAGAUUGGGAUUCCUGUACUGAAAUUUUUAGGGGUUUUGCAAAGUCUGGAUGGGCAUCAAAUCAGGCAUUAGCUGUUUAUAUUGGGGCUUCAUUUUUCCCCACUGCAGUGCUCAAAUUUCGUAAGUUUUUCUUCAAGAAAUGUAAGACUGAUAUUGUUAAAUAUUUAGUCUCCCUUGGCCCUUCUCAUGAAGCUGAGAAGUUCUUGUUUCCAAUGUUUGUUGAAUUUUGCUUUGAGGAGUUUCCUGAUGAAAUUAAGAGAUUUAGGUCUAUGGUUGAGUCAGCAGAUUUGACAAAACCACAUACAUGGUUCCCAUUUGCGAGGGCUAUGAAACGCAAGAUUAUAUAUCACUGUGGUCCGACUAAUAGUGGAAAGACGUAUAAUGCGCUUCAGAGAUUCAUGGAAGCGAAGAAGGGGAUCUAUUGUAGUCCACUAAGGUUGUUGGCCAUGGAAGUUUUUGAUAAGGUUAAUGCUGUAGGGGUUUAUUGUAGCCUCCUCACUGGGCAAGAGAAGAAGUCGGUUCCAUUUUCGAGUCAUGUUGCUUGUACGGUUGAGAUGGUGUCUACAGAUGAGUUGUAUGAUGUGGCUGUUAUUGAUGAAAUACAAAUGAUGGCAGAUUCGUGUAGAGGAUAUGCAUGGACGAGGGCUUUGCUUGGGUUAAAGGCCGAUGAGAUACAUUUAUGUGGCGAUCCGAGUGUUUUGAAUAUUGUUAGAAGGAUUUGUUCUGAUACGGGGGAUGAGUUGGUAGAGCAACAUUAUGAGCGGUUUAAGCCAUUGGUGGUCGAAGCAAAGACCCUUCUUGGGGAUCUGAAAAACGUAAAAUCUGGAGAUUGUGUUGUUGCCUUCUCGAGGAGGGAAAUAUUUGAGGUUAAAUUGACAAUCGAGAAGUUAACGAAUCAUCGUUGUUGUGUUAUAUAUGGAGCAUUGCCACCGGAAACUCGUAGGCAUCAGGCUUCGUUGUUUAACGAUCCAGAUAACGAGUACGAUGUCCUGGUUGCUAGUGAUGCGGUAGGAAUGGGAUUGAAUCUAAAUAUUCGACGGGUUGUGUUCUAUAAUCUGUCGAAAUAUAAUGGUGACAAGAUUGUCCCCGUUCCAGCUUCCCAGGUGAAGCAAAUUGCUGGAAGAGCUGGUAGGAGAGGAAGCAGAUUUCCCGAAGGAUUAACUACCACUUUGCAUCUGGAGGAUUUGGAUUAUUUGAUCGAGUGCUUGAAGGAGCCUUUCGAUGAAGUUAAGAAAGUCGGGCUCUUUCCGUUCUUCGAGCAGGUUGAGCUAUUUGCCGGGCAACUCUCAAACGCCACCUUCUCGGAGUUACUCGAAAAGUUUGGAGCAAAUUGCCGUUUAGAUGGUUCUUACUUCCUAUGUCAACACGGUCACAUAAAGAAAAUAGCUAAUAUGUUGGAGAAAGUUCAGGGGUUAUCUCUCGAAGAUCGUUUCAAUUUUUGCUUUGCCCCGGUUAACAUCCGAGACCCGAAAGCAAUGUACCAUCUACUAAGGUUUGCGUCAUCGUAUGCCCAGAAUCUGCCCGUUAACAUAGCCAUGGGCAUGCCAAAAUGCUCUGCCCGUAAUGAUUCGGAGCUCUUGGAUCUCGAGACUAGACACCAAGUAUUGUCUACUUAUAUGUGGUUGUCUAAUCACUUUGAAUCGGAAAAGUUCCCGUACUUUAAGAAGGCCGAGGCAAUGGCAGCGGGCGUUGCUGAAUUACUGGGCGAGUCACUGACUAAAGCUUGCUGGAAACCGGAAUCGAGAUCAGGCGGAAAACCUAGGAUGCAGGACAAGGAUAAUAGGGAAAAGCGCGAGAAAUCAUUACCAGGACAGCAAGAGGAGAAGAAGGUUGCUGCACAAUGCUCCUAAUGAGGUAUAGUAGCGGGACAGAAGGAAAUGGAUCAAGAUUGUGCAUUUCUCGACAAUAGGGUCUCAUGUGUGUUUCUUGGCCAAAACAUACGCUUUCUCGAUGGAACGGGAUACCAUUAUCGCCAUACUUCAUCGGUUUAUUGAAUGCCAUACGCCCACCGGAAUCCAGAUGUUUACAGUAAUAGUAAGUUCUUGGCAUUGGAUGAAGAGGGAUGAUUGAAAAGAAAACUUGUUGAGGGUAUAAGUUAAGUUUUUAUGUAGCUAAUCCUAUUUGUAGGUAGAGCUUCAUACUCCUUUUCUUCUUAUACAGAACAAAUGAGUACAUUCUUUUUGACAGUAUUCCAUAUGAAAAAAAAAAAAAAAA